UCUCUUGAAAUUCAACCGAUAGACUCCUAACUAUGUAGUGCUUCGCAAGAAGACUAUGGUGCUAAACCUUUUGUGCAAUAGAUGUGCAGGACGCGGCUUCGAAGCCGCCGCCUCCACCACAAUUAGCCGUUACCGGGCUGCUUAUGAUGGGGGCGAAAUGGGAUCGACUGGCAUUGAAAGACAAAAGCUGUGCCCGGCAUGAUACCGCCGUUAUCGGGUCACAAGUGUAGUUGCAAACGACAACAACGCUAAGGAAUACGCUCUCGCUGCCUAAUGGCGGUGUGAGAAUUCCGACCUAAGUCCUCUAGGUUAGCCCCUUGAGGCGGGGUCCGAAGGCACCUGGCAACAGAAGCCUUCACC
RNAcentral lists this transfer-messenger RNA (360 nucleotides) under Rhizobium mesosinicum. It matches the Rfam family "Alphaproteobacteria transfer-messenger RNA". From Rfam's summary of the family: Bacterial tmRNA, also known as 10Sa RNA or SsrA, is named for its dual tRNA and mRNA-like properties. The record is from RNAcentral. Lineage: Bacteria; Pseudomonadati; Pseudomonadota; Alphaproteobacteria; Hyphomicrobiales; Rhizobiaceae.